Molecule: ribosomal RNA, 301 nt
Filed under: uncultured bacterium
Lineage: Bacteria
Description: partial 16S ribosomal RNA
Rfam family: Bacterial small subunit ribosomal RNA
Source: RNAcentral
CAGCCGCCCGGUAAUACAGAGGGUGCGAGCGUUAAUCGGAUUUACUGGGCGUAAAGCGUGCGUAGGCGGCUUCUUAAGUCGGAUGUGAAAUCCCUGAGCUUAACUUAGGAAUUGCAUUCGAUACUGGGAAGCUAGAGUAUGGGAGAGGAUGGUAGAAUUCCAGGUGUAGCGGUGAAAUGCGUAGAGAUCUGGAGGAAUACCGAUGGCGAAGGCAGCCAUCUGGCCUAAUACUGACGCUGAGGUACGAAAGCAUGGGGAGCAAACAGGAUUAGAUACCCCAGUAGUCCCUGUCUCUUAUACA